GCGGGAGUGGCGGAAUUGGCAGACGCGCUAGACUUAGGAUCUAGUGUCCCACGACGUGCAGGUUCAAGUCCUGUCUUCCGCACCA
This 85-nucleotide transfer RNA is filed under the name Propionispira arboris. RNAcentral describes it as "tRNA_Leu_TAG". It matches the Rfam family "tRNA". Rfam says of the family: Transfer RNA (tRNA) molecules are approximately 80 nucleotides in length. Their secondary structure includes four short double-helical elements and three loops (D, anti-codon, and T loops). Lineage: Bacteria; Bacillati; Bacillota; Negativicutes; Selenomonadales; Selenomonadaceae. The record is from RNAcentral.